Molecule: small RNA, 1047 nt
Filed under: uncultured Pelagibacterales bacterium
Lineage: Bacteria; Pseudomonadati; Pseudomonadota; Alphaproteobacteria; Candidatus Pelagibacterales
Description: bacterial SSU rRNA
Rfam family: Bacterial small subunit ribosomal RNA (bases 1-658)
Source: RNAcentral
CACCGCCUGGGGAGUACGACCGCAAGGUUAAAACUCAAAUGAAUUGACGGGGACCCGCACAAGUAGUGGAGCAUGUGGUUUAAUUCGAAGAUACGCGCAGAACCUUACCAACACUUGACAUGUUCGUCGCGACUCUAAGAGAUUAGAGUUUUCGGUUCGGCCGGACGAAACACAGGUGCUGCAUGGCUGUCGUCAGCUCGUGUCGUGAGAUGUUGGGUUAAGUCCCGCAACGAGCGCAACCCUCACUUUUAGUUGCCAUCAUUUAGUUGGGCACUCUGAAAGAACUGCCAGUGAUAAGCUGGAGGAAGGUGGGGAUGACGUCAAGUCCUCAUGGCCCUUACGUGUUGGGCUACACACGUGCUACAAUGGUAUCUACAACAGGAAGCAAGACUGCGAGGUCAAGCAAAUCCUUAAAAGAUACCUCAGUUCGGAUUGCACUCUGCAACUCGAGUGCAUGAAGCUGGAAUUACUAGUAAUCGUGGAUCAGCGUGCCACGGUGAAUGCGUUCCCGGGUCUUGUACACACCGCCCGUCACACCAUGGGAGUUGGUUCUACCUUAAGGCAAGGUUUAAAACCCUUGACCACGGUAUAGUCAGCGACUGGGGUGAAGUCGUAACAAGGUAGCCGUAGGGGAACCUGCGGCUGGAUUACCUCCUUUCUAAGGAUGAAUAAAAGUAAAAUUUUAUUCUAAAUAAUAUACAGGUAAUGUUGACCGUCCUCAUUUCUCUUCUUAAAAUAGUGUUUCUCUUGCAUGGGGGCCGGUAGCUCAGUUGGUUAGAGCACACCCUUGAUAAGGGUGGGGUCGAAAGUUCGAGUCUUUCUCGGCCCACCAAUUUAAGAUUAAGGGGGAUUAGCUCAGCUGGGAGAGCGCCUGAUUUGCAUUCAGGAGGUCAGCGGUUCGAUCCCGCUAUCCUCCACCAAAACACUUAGUUAUAAAAAAUUGUGAAUAUAAAAAAUAAUUAAUAUCAAUAUCUAUAUCCGAACAUUAGUAAUGUUAUUAGCUAAUGUUCAAAAUAAAAAUUUGAUUCAACACAGAAUUUUUUUCUG